AGGGCCAACCUGGGGGAGCUCAGGUGCAUGCAAUGUACCUGAGUGACCGGAAGAGGGUAGAGCCAGGAUCCAGCCCUUCCCAGACCUCAUUUAAGGGUUGGCAGUGGAGUCAAGGUUAUGCUUGCUUGCUGGAGAUCCCUAUUCAUCUGAGGCCUUACAAGGCUUCUCAGUCGUUGGCAACUGCUCAGUCCCCAACGCCCGUGGGGAUGGGUUGCUCUGACUGCUUUUCAUCUUCUCCAUCAGUGGUCCUAUCUUGCUGCCAUUGUUUUCAUGGCAUCAAAGUGUAGCAGUGUCCUAGCAUACCAAGGAAUUUCUAAGCUGUAUGUGGAUGUACACAUUGUUGAGUAUAUUGGAAUAAACUCACCGAUUAGAUUUUUUUUUUUUAAACAAACCCAUUAGUGAAAUAUUUUACUUGGAAUCUCUAAAAACUGUUGUUCAAUCAUGUAAUUUUCUCCUUUGGCAGAUUUUCAAAGUUUUCAAAAUAUAGAUUGUUCUGUAAUUUUGGUCCCCAC
Molecule: long non-coding RNA, 512 nt
Filed under: Gallus gallus (chicken)
Lineage: Eukaryota; Metazoa; Chordata; Aves; Galliformes; Phasianidae
Description: lncRNA (ENSGALG00010020016.1)
Source: RNAcentral